UUUAACUGAAGAGUUUGAUCAUGGCUCAGAUUGAACGCUGGCGGCAGGCUUAACACAUGCAAGUCGAGCGGGGGAAGGUAGCUUGCUACUGGACCUAGCGGC
This 102-nucleotide ribosomal RNA is filed under the name Acinetobacter baumannii. Its description in RNAcentral is "partial 16S ribosomal RNA". It matches the Rfam family "Bacterial small subunit ribosomal RNA", at positions 1 to 99 of the family's 1533-position model. Lineage: Bacteria; Pseudomonadati; Pseudomonadota; Gammaproteobacteria; Moraxellales; Moraxellaceae. The record is from RNAcentral.